GGAAAUUCUUCAUCACGUGACCUUGCCUGAUGCCCUUCUAGAGCAUUCCACUUGGAAUAAGAAUUCAUCCCUCUAUUUCCUUUUUUUUUCAAAGUGCCUUCAUGCAUGUCAGAUUACAGCUGGCCUUGAAGAAGGUGGAGCAGACCAGCCUUUAUCUUCACAUGGAAGAUGAAAUAAUGAAGGUUCUGAGAGGUGCAGUGAUUUCCCAAGGCCACACAGCUAUUAGUGGCAAAGACAGGACCAGUGCCUAGAUCUGACUUUCAUCUCUCACCUGUCUGAAAUUCCAUAGCCCACGAUCACUUAGGAAUUUUCAUCUCCUUUGGAACUGUCUUUCAUUAGAUCCGUACUGGGAGUCCCUGAGUCCAACACUAGCCCUUCAACCUGAUGACAGCCAGAGAUUAGAGCCAAAGGUGGCUGUCACAGAGGUGACAGUUCUCUUUCCCUGCCCCUCCACCAUAGGAAACCAAGCUUGGCAAAUCUUGACUUCUCUGUAGUGCCGUUUAGGUUACCAAAUCUCUGCACAUUCUACUUCUGAGGAUCUGAGAGGAUGUCUUAGCUCAGGCUGCUAUAACAAAAUACCACGGCCAAGGUGGCUUAUAAACAACAGCCAUUAAUCUCUCUCAAUUCUGGAGGCUGGGAAGUCCAAGAUCAAGGUGCUGGCAAAUUUGGCUCCUGGUUGAGGACCCAGUCCUGGCUUGCAGACAGCUGGAUGCCUUGCUGGGGCCUUCCAUGGUAGCAAGAGAAAGCUCUGGUCUGUCUGCUUCUUUGGGCACUAAUCCCAUGAUGGGGUCUCCACCCUCAGGACCUCGUCUCAACCUAAUUACCCCCCGAAGGUCACGCCUUCUAAUACCACCACAUGAAGGCUUAGGGCUUUCGCAUAUGAAUUUGGGUGGUGGAGGACAGAUUUGGUCCCUAACAGGAGAUGUCAGCUCUUGCAUCCAUAAGCUGCAGAGUGUAGAGCCUGCGUCUCUGUGCCUAAAGGAUUUGGUGGAGUAAAUGCUGCCGUCCAAGGGACAGAAAGUGGAGCCUGAAGUGCUGAGUGCUAAUGCUGACGGCAGACAUUGAAAUAGGAGCACGGUGCCUUUAAGAAGGAUGAGGGCACAUCUCUGGGGUGGAGCCCGGCCCAGUUACCCAAGCGCUUGGAAGCUGCUAGGACCUGCCCUUGUGGAGACCAGGCCUUGCGGUUCUGGUUUGCAGUCCAGGCACCGCUCGGGGCCCCGCUCCCCUGCUUCCCGGCUGCCACACGACUCAGCGUUGGCACCAGAAGACAAGAAAAAAGAAAGACAAGAGAAGAAAAGCAGAGUAAUGGAAGGAGGAGGACUGGCCUGGGGAGGGGAGACACCUGGCUUCUCUCUCCAACUCCACCUGUAGCUUGUUCACAGCCCCUCGGUGUCGCUAAGCAGCCUCACUCUGUAAGAGGCAAACAACCCCAUCUCACCUGCUCCAGCUGACACAAGACCAAGUGAGAGGCGUGAUGAGACCUGUUCUUCCAAGGACCAGGGGGCAGAAUCAAGAUGGGUGGAAGUUACAAGGAGGCAGAUUUCAGAUCACAAUCAGGAAGACAUUUCCAUUUACCAAAGUCCUUUCUACAGAUUCCUAAUCACCCAGAAAGCCUUCUCCCCUGGGAACUAGUCGAGCAGCAGACUGGUCAUCUGGCAGUGAUCCCGCACGAGAGGGACUGAACCCUGAGCCAUAAGGCCCCUUUGAAAUGGGACAGUCUGCAUGUUGGUUUAUGUGGAAGGGCUUUGGGAAGAAUCAAUGUGAGGCUAAGCGCUCAGGGGCUCGGACUUCUGGCUACCUUGGUCACUGCAGCAGGAGGAGAAAAAGCUGGAAGGGGGGUCAAGCACCCACCCAGAAGUGAAUCCCGGCACUUCUGGCAUCUCACCGAACAGAAUUAGUCACGUGGCCCUGCCUAACCUCAAGGAGGUGCAUGCAGGAAGCAUAUGCAGAAAGGAGAGAAAAAUGGAUAGAGUCUGACAUUAUGAGACUACUCUGCAAAACCUUCACACUGAGCUUUGUCUCGAAGAUAGCCUUCGGAGCAGUAAUCAGGCCUCCAUUAACUACAGCAGGAAGGGGGACAGCUGUGGAACUAAAGGCAUGCAUCUGGGGAUCCAGGAAGCAUUGGGGAACCCACCAGCACCUGGUAAAGCUUGGGACCCGGGCCAGGUCCAGAGCUGGUGACCUGGGUGAGGUGCAUGCACAUGUAUGGAUGAACACAUAGGAUUCUGGGCAGCUCAGUGGAAGCACAGAGAACCAAAGCUGAUGGAAAAACCUAACUCUGUCUGGAGCAUUGUCAAUCUCAUGCCAGAAAGAAAAAGACGAGGCCAAUGGUGCCCUGACUUCCAGAACUCUGUACAAAAGUGACCAAUGUCACUUCUUUGACUAAAGCAAGUCGUAUGGCCAUUCCAGAGGUCAUCAGCAUGGGGAUAACCUUACAGAGAGGAGCAUGACAAAGGAAGAAACUGGAACUUUUGGUGAAUGAGAACCUGUCUCCACCACCUCUUUCUAGGAUGACUUCUUUCCCAGAGGCAUCAAAUUUUACAAUGCAGCCUGUGUGUAGGAGUGCAAAUGUUGGGGAGCAUUUACUCUACUAAUCUACUCUACUACUAAUCACCAGCAUCUGUGCAUCAACACAGGCGUUCUCUGCUCAUCGUACUCACUGUCACACAGGUAAAAACUUUUUUAUGUGACAAACUAUUCUGAGAGCAAGACAACUGCUGAUGGUGCGUGGCAAGGGAUCUAAGUGAAAUACCAUUGCAAAUAACGAGUCCUGUCGUAAUAAGAUCACGGAAGUUGCUAAGGGGUCAUUUUCAGAAUGCAUUUUACUUAGGACCUUUAUUGAUAUGAUGCUGUUGAAGAAUUCAAGGAUUUAAUAGCUCUGGGCUGAGUCCCUGGAAACAUUCAGGUUCUACUGUGUUGGGAGCUUCCUGGGUCCUGGAGAUUCUCCUGCAGCUGUUACCACCUCAGGGCUGGUCAGGGUUGAGACUUCUCCAGGUGUUUCCAUCCCACAUGCUUUGUGACAGGGAAGGCUGCCCUCUCUUGCCUUCAUCGCUUUCUGUCCCCAUCAGUCGCUCCUCAUCCCAGGGCAGUCUGAGUGCCCCUUCUCCACGCCUCCAAAAUGCCUCCUACAAAUCUAGUCUAAGAAGUUUGAAGACGCGGAGUCGGGGUAGAGGAGCACAGGAGAGUUCAGAUGAUGGCUGACAUUAUGGCCGCUGCCUUUGAGCCCACUGUGUCCAGGGGGAUGGACUUAAAACACGUAACUAGCAGACGAGUUGACAGUUGCUCAAAGAGAGGGAUGAACGGAGUAGAGUAGGAAAAGGGAGUGAUCCAGAAGUGUGUUUCCUCUCCUCUUCUCCUCUCGUCUCUCUCUCUCUCUCUCCCUGUCUCUCUCUCCCUCCCUCUCUCUCUCGCUCGCUCUCUCACUCACUCACACACACACACACACACACACACACACACAGUGAAGAUUAGAUGACAAUUUAGAACAAGAGGGGCCGUCUGGGCUGAGAAGACCAUCUGAAAGCUGCAUCAAGAAUUUUGAGAAAGCCGUGGCCAGUUGGUGGUGGCCAUUCCGGGCCAGGCACCUCCUAGCCAUGGGCUGCCCUCCAGCCAGCCCAUAGGUACCCUUCUCAUUCCUUCAGAGGGUUUCACCCCCAGAGACCAAGCCCUUGUGCCCCAGCCAGGGCCAAACGUCCUGCUCAGCCACACCAAGCUACUUGAAGCCGCAUCCCUGAACCCUGGAGGGUUCCCACCCUUCCAGGCCAAGGGGAGACCUCUCUGCUGUCCCCAGCUUUAUCUUUAAAACUGAAGCCAGGUUUGUGUUGCUGAUCAUGUAUCUGUGCUUAUUUUGAUGUAAACAUUAUGUUUUCAAUUUCAUGCCUAACCCACCCUCCCCCCUCUCACGAGGUCCCAGUGUAAAAUCCAGUACUGCUCUGUGCUUCCCGGUACUCAUUACAAGUGUAAUUAAUUCGUGUUUGCCCAGUCAUUUAGCUGCUGUCCUUCCCACAGGACCAUCAGCUCCUACAGGGCAGCCGCUGUGUCUUUCUUGCUCACCACAUUCUCACUGGCUCACCAGUGACUGUUGAGGGUGUGACUUUUAGCCUCCGGGGUUAUAAGAGCCUUCUUAUAAUAAGGCUGACAUGGAAAUUCCAGUCUCAUGCAGAUCAAGUGUCCCUGCGUCCUUUUACAAGCAGAAAUAUCUGGACAGGUGGCUCACGAAGAGGUCAUGGUUCCCCAAGGGACCAGGUGAGAGGUGCUAUCACUGCUCAGGGCCCUGUCAAUACUCUUGACGCUCCCCAUUGACCAUGAGACUAUGAUGUCACCUGCAAAUACAUACAAAAGGUGCCUAUUCUGUAAAGCUCUCUAAGGAGAAUUACUUUAAUCUCGUUCUUACUGUAUUAAGUACAUAACAUCAUAACUCACAGUUUCCCAGAUUCAGUUCAAGGGCAGAGAUGAUUUGGUAGUUAUUUGAUUUAUAGAAGUUUUCUCAAGUUGGAGAAGAAAUUGAAGCAUGUUUUGCUGAGGGUAGGAAAACAACUCCAUUUGGAAGAGGAGCUAAUAUCUCAAAAAAGUAAUUGUAAAUUAUAUCAAUUGCGCUCACCUUUGGGUCUAAUUUUCCCAUUUCCUACAAGGUUUCGGUGACAAGCCUUAUCCUUACCAUUCUUGAUAUUCACAGAGCACUCUUCAGAAGAUUUAUUGGUUAAAAAAUGCAAAUUCCUUAAAACAACCAAGUGCUGUCUCCGAGUUCCAUGCAAAGAUGUGGUUAGACAAACUAGUCAGAAUUUGAAGACAAUGCUAGAGAAAAAUAGUAAGAAAUCAGAAUUGUGGAAUAAUUACCAAAAUUGCUUGCAUUUACUGAACGGCUGUUAUAUAGCAGGUACUGGGCUGAGUUCUUUAUAUGGAUUAGCUUGUUUAAUGGCAACCAUUUGAGGUAGGGAGAAUGAUUAUUCCCAUUUCCUAGAUGAGAAAACUUAUAUGUGGAAAAUGUAUAACUUUCCCGAGAUCUUGCCUAGUGGAAAACAAAGUCUGAGCUUUGAGGCUGGUUUACAUCAUUUUCUGGUCCAGGCUCUUCCCACUGGUCAUGAAUAAGCAAUCAACAUUGGUGUUUGAGAAAGGAAGAAACUUCCAUCAUGCCAAGUACAAGUGCUAGUGAGCUUGUAUUAUUCAACCCAGGGCCUAACAGAUUUGUUUCAAUGAACAAAUACAUAAAGAUCCUUUGUAAGUGGCUCAUUUAUUGACUCUUAGGUGACUGAAAAUCUGUUGUUCCCUGAAAACGUUAAGCAUUGUCUCUCCCAUCCAAACCCAUCACAGUCUAACAAAUAACAUUUUCGUGAGUUUGGUCCGUUUCAAAAUUCCAGCAAGACACAAAUUUCUGUUUGGCCAGCCAUCAAACAGAAAGUCCUGACUAGUGCUCUUUUGAACAGCGUGUUGACACCCACAGUCUCUGUUUAACUUCUUUCUCCGAUAGCAGCAGCCCUGGGGUUUCCUUUGGUCACUGGAGUUGGUUGGAGUUCAUAGAUGUUGCAUGCUGCAUUUAUGGAGGACUCACUGCAGGCCCGUUUUGGGAUGGUAUGACCCUUGCCCUAUAGCCAUUGGUCUUCCUGUCCAACCUGGUCCACAACCAUCCUCCACUUUGGAAAACAUUUUCAAUUCCAUUCUGUUCAAUGCAACUGGGGUAGGUUGAACAGACACUAUCGGCCCAGUGUUGUGCUUCUCCAAGUCAGGGGCAGGGGACUCUAUGUAAAAUAUCAACGAUAGCUGGUAUUUAUUGACUGCUUCUGUCAAGCAUGACUUCAUUUUAUCCCUCACAGUCACCUUCCUGGUCCCAUCUUUCAGAGUGGUAGAGCCCCAGGUCACUGAGGAGGUAGGUUGAUUGUAGAUCUGACAUCACAGUCUGAGCUUUUAACCUCGACUCUUUGGUACCAUUUUUGUGAGUGCCAGGAAGGCUGAAGACAAGGGCUGGAGGAAGAAUCAAGGAAGGAGUGGAAAUUGAGCUGGAUUUAAGGAUUGCAUUGGAAAGACAAGGAUUUGCACUGGGAAAGAGGCAGAGCAGGAAAGCAGAGAGGCUCUCUUGCUUCUGUUCUCACCAUAGAGCAGUGGAGAAGGUGAAUUAGACUAUUUUGUGGUUGGCAUAACCAAUUAAGUUUAAAUGCAACACCUGUCUUGCCGUUUGAACUCAAUCUUAUUAUACCAGAUCUCUUUGCAUUUCUUUUGUUUGGGCAGAUUUUACACACAGGGGUUUUAAGUCAAUCAAAGAGCAUCUGUGCUGAAAGGAAUUAUUUUUGUGUGUGUUAAAAUAAUUGGCCCAGUUCUUCUCUCAACUAAUAAGUAAAACCUCUCUAAUUCCUGUCUUAGAGGGAAGGUAAUACAGUAUAGGGAAAAAAGCAUUCACCUAACUACACCUUUUAUUUCUAGAACAUGGUAUGAUGUCCAAGAAAAUGAAUUUACACAGUCUGGAGGAAGAGGUGAGAUCAGCAUACCUAUCCUGAACUUAGCAUAGACACCGUGUCCUUGACAGCCAUGCUUAAUUUGCAUGAUAAGUGAGCAAGGUAUGCUAAUAACAGAGAGGGAACAUACUGAGAAACAGAUUUGAACUUAAGUAUCCUGCACAUGACAUCAGAAUAUACCACUGCCCUCUUCUUCUGCUUUGUACCAUACCACCAUAAAAGUGCCUCAGAUAAAAUAUUCUUUUUGAAAUAUCUGGACUUUGUUUCCAAGUCAUUUAAUUUUCCCCUGGGUGUUGACUCUGUGUCCUUGUUUUCAAAUCAUCUAUCACUUUCACAGUUUCAAUCUUCUUGUCUUUUUUGCAGAAAGUAAUUUUUCCAAAGACAUAUUUCAAUGCAUAUAAGGGAGAAAUUACCUGACUUUUAUUUAGUGCCUCCAAAAGAGCUUAAUUCUGUUUCAGAGAACACCAGAGUCAGGUGACUUCCUUCUCUAUAUCUGGGCAAUCCAAAUCUGUCCCUUUAUGGAAAUAAGCACCAUCGGUGGCAGCCAUGUGGUAUGUAUGGGACCAAGCCUACCUUCAGCUCCAGCAGAUAGCCCUGAUUGGUCUAGACCCAUGGCAAUCCAAUUGUGGUGGCCACAGAAUUUGAUGUUGGGAUGAGCCAAUCAGCACGAAGUUCACUGUGGGAGACAACCUCUCCUGUUUCAUGGGAGUAAGGCAGGAUGGGGACCUCACUGCAGCCAGGCCUCCUGCAAUCACCAGGGAGUUAGCCCUAGAAGGCAACCAACAGUAGGUGUGAAAGAGAGGGAAGGGAAAAAGAAACUGAGUCCUCAUGUCAUUGUAGCAAUCAGUGACAUUCACUGUACCUCUGGACUCCCAGUUAGCCAAUAAAUCCCUCCUUGUUUAUGAGUUUUAAUUCAGUUUUCUGUUACUUGCAGCCAAAAGCAUUUUAUCCGAUACACCCAAUGACUAGGCAGUUGAACUACAACAUAAUUCCACUUCUCAGAAUGCAACCUAUGCAUUCCAACUAACAAUAGCAAUAGCAUAUUGGGUAAUUAAGUUGCAUCCGUUGAUGGUACAUGAGCUAGGACAGUUUAUGGUACAAACCGUGGCCUCUCAGAAAUGGUACAAACCUUUUCCUCUCUCCUUCGGUUAAAACCCAGUCAUGUGGCCACAUCUAACUGCAAAGGAGCCCAGGAAGAAAAAGUGGAUUUUUGGUAACCGAUUUGUAGUCUUGCCCAGGAAGAAUAUUCUAGAAGAUUAUUACAUUACAUGGGGAAAAAGCUCAAGAACAGUGUGCAUAAUAUCAGCCCAAGUUUCCAAAUGCCAAUAUCUGUAAGGGCAGAAGCCACGGCUUCUUCUGUUUCCACAUUUGUUCUUUGUUCCUCUGCAGCCAUGUUCUACCUCUGGCACGUUCAUGGUGACCCCAUUUGCAAAUACACUCCACCGCUCUCUGGUGAGCAAUACAGAUUUUAUUGAGGAUCUUGUAUUAGAAACAGACAUGUAAUCAAAUCCCUCUAUGGGCAUCUGUUCUUUCCUCCAAAAUUCUCAUCCCUUGUCAGUGGUCUGUCCUCACUGUCACUCUUCUCUGGCCACAUGCUUCCCUUCCACAGUCACCAGCCCUUGAAAGUCUCCUGACUGCCUGAGCAAUUUGCCCCCUGCCCUUUGUUAUAUGUCCUCUCUGCAAAACAAAAACCUGGUAAUAAACUCAAAACCAAGGAUAUAUUUUUUCCUCCAGCGUACUCCUCAAGGAACUUAGCGAACAACUCACUGAACAGAAAAAGCCGCCUUCUUGGGGUGGGGAGCUGUUAAGUAAGAAAAUAAAUUUAGGGGGCACCUCGG
Felis catus (domestic cat) is the source of this 8284-nucleotide long non-coding RNA. RefSeq lists it as uncharacterized. The transcript has 7 exons. The record is from RefSeq and is a predicted model, not a curated record. NCBI's taxonomy places the organism in Eukaryota, Metazoa, Chordata, Mammalia, Carnivora, Felidae.